AACUCAUAAAAUUUGAUUGAAUUGUAUGAAUGAUGAAAAUGUUGUCGUUGAAUACCCGUGAAAUUGAUUGAAUUUGUUGAAUGAUGAAAAGUGGUUGUUAACCCCAUGAAAAUUUGCUUAAAUAUGGGAUGAUGGAAAACUGUUCGUAUAUAAUACCCAUGAAAUAUUACUUGAGUUUGUGUGUAUAAUGAAAAUGUUGUUGUAAACUAAUCAUGAAAUUUGAUUUGAAUUUGUGGAAAUAAUGAAAUGUUGUUAGUUAAACCUAAUGAGAUUUGAAAUGAAUUGUGUGAAUGAUGAACAUGUGAUGUUUAACACCAUGAAAUUUAUUGAAUUGUGUGAUGAGAAAAUGUUUGGCUCUGUUAAAUUCUAAUCCGUGUUUGAACUUGCUAUGUGAAUGAUGAAAUUUAAUUGUUUAAACAAUGAAAUUGAUCUGAAGUUGUGUGAAUAGAGAAUGUAAAGAAAUGUUGUUGGCCCAUGAAAAUUUAGAUUGAAUUCGUUAUGAAAUGAUGAAAAUGUUGUUGUUGUUUUAAAUUCAGAAAUUUUAGCGAUUAAAUUGUGUGAAUUGAUUGAAAUUGUUGUAUGUUAAACUCAAAAAUUUGAUUGUAGGAAUGGGGUAGAAUGAAGAAAAUGUUGUCUGUUGUAACCCAUGAAGAUUUGAUAGAAGAUGACGCAUAGACGAUGUUGUCAUUGUUUAAACAUAAAAUUGAUGAUAAACUCGUAGCAAGAAAAAUGAUUUGCCGAUAGUGGAUUUGGAAUGAAUUGACUCUCAAGUUGAUGUUGUUGUAAAACGGACCCAUGAAAUUUUGAUUAAUAUGGAUUAGAAGUAGAAAAUGGUUCUAUAAACCCAUGAUAUUUGAUAUGAGGUUGUAGUGUGAUAAUGAAAUGUUGAUUUUUAAACACACAUGAAAUUGUGAUUGAGUAAUUGUUGGAAUAAAUGAAAAUGUUGUUGUUUAAACCUAUGAGAUUUGAUUGAAUUGGUGUGAAUGUAUGUAAAAUGUUGAUGUAAAUGCCCAUGAAAUUUUAUUGAAUUGUGGAAUGAUGUAUGUUUCCGUGUUAAAUCCAUGGAGUUUGAUUGAAUUCAGUGAAUGAUGAAAAUAUUCGUCGUUAAAUAGCCAUGAAUUGAUUGAGUGUGUGAACGAUUAAAAAUAUUGUUCUUAAACCCAUGAAAAUUUGAUUGAAUUGUUGUGAAUGAUGAAAAUGUUGUUGUUGUUAAAUUCAUGGAAAAUCUGAUUGAAUUGUGUGGAAUGUGAAAUGCUUGAUGUUAACCAACAUGAAACUUUGAUAGAAUUGUGUGAAUAAUGACAAAUGUUGUUGCUUGUUUGAACCCCAUGAGAAUUUUGAUUGAAUUGUUGAUGCAUGUGAAAAAUGUUGUUGUUGUUAAACCCAUGAAAUUUGAUUAAAUUGUGUGAAAUGAUGAAAAUGUUGUUGUUUAAACUCAUAAACUCUCUGAUUGAAUCUGAUGAAUGAUGAACAGAUGUUGUCGUUAAUCCCCUGUGAAAAUUUGAUGAUUGUCUGAAUGAAUGAAAAUGUAGUUUGUUUUAAACCCUGAAAUUUGAUUAAAUUAGUCGGGAAAUGAUGAAUAAUGUUCUAGUUAAACCCAUGAAAUUUGAUUGAGUUGUUGUGUAAUAAUGAAAAUACUUGUUGUAAACCUAUUGAAAUUUGAAAUGAAUUGUUGGAAUAAUGAAAAUGGUGUGUUAAAGCCUAUGAGAACAUUUGAAUUGAAUUGUUUGAGAUGAUAAAAAUGGUGUGAUAGUUGAACCCAAUGAAAUUUUGCAUUUGAAUGUCGGUGGAAUGAUGAAAUGUGCCUGUCUAUAAUCCAUUGGAGUUUGAUUGAAUUCUUGAAUGAUGAAAAUAUUGUCGUUAAACCACAUUCGAAAUUUGAUUGAGUUGGUGUGGAACGAUAAAAAAUAUUGUUUUCUUAAAACCAUGAAAUUUGCUUGAAAUUAAUGUGAAUGAUGAAAAUGUUGUUUGUUGUUAAAUUCAUGAAAUCUGAUUGAAUUGUGUGAAUGAUGAAAAUGUUGAAUGUAAAAAAUGAACCCAUUGAUAGAAUUGUAGUUGAAAUAAUGAAAAUUGUUGUUGUUGUUGAACCCAUGAAAAUUUGACUUGAAUUGUCAUUGAAUGAUGAAAAUGUUGUUUUGCUUAAACCCAUGAAUUCGAUUAAAUUGUUGUGAAUGAUGAAAAUGUUGUUGUUUUAAACUCAUAAAAUUUGACUAUGAAUUGUAUGAAUGAUGGAAAUGGUUGUCGUUAGUAAACCCGUGAAAUUUGAUUGAGGUCCUGAUGCAUGACAAUGUAGUUGUUCACCCAUGAAAUUUGAUAAAUUAUCGGCAAUGAUGAAAAUGUUCUAUUAUUGAGUUGUGUGUAUAAUGAAAAUGUUGUUGUUAAACACAUGAAAUUUGAUUGAAUUGUUGGAAUAAUGAAAAUGUUGUUGUUAAACCUAUGAGAUUUGAUUGAAUUGUGUGAAUGAUGAAAAUGUAGAUGUUAAACCUUUAAAUUUUAUUGAAUUGUGGGAAUGAUGUAAAUGUUCCUGUUAAAUCCAUGGAGUUUGAUUGAAUUCUGUGAAUGAUGAAAAUAUUGUCGUUAAACCCAUGAAAUUUUUAUGAGUUGUGUGAACGAUAAAAAUAUUGUUCUUAAACCCAUGAAAUUUGAUUGAAUUGUGUGAAUGAUGAAAAUGUUGUUGUUGUUAAAUUCAUGAAAUCUGAUUGAAUUGUGUUAAUGAUGAAAAUGUUGAUAUUAAACAAAUGAAAUUUGAUAGAAUUGUGUGAAUAAUGAAAAUGUUGUUGUUGUUGAACCCAUGAAAUUUGAUUGAAUUGUAUGAAUGAUGAAAAUGUUGUUGUUGUUAAACCUAUGAAAUUCGAUUAUUGAACUGUAUGAAUGAUGAAAAUGUUGUCGUUGAACCCGUGAAAUUUGAUUGAAUUGUCUGAAUGAUGAAAAUGUAGUUGUUAAACCCAUGAAAUUUGAUUAAAUUAUGGGAAUGAUGAAAAUGUUUUAUUAAACCCAUGAAAUUUGAUUGAGUUGUGUGUAUAAUGAAAAUGUUGUUGUUAAAC
This 3044-nucleotide long non-coding RNA is filed under the name Lathyrus oleraceus (garden pea). Its description in RNAcentral is "Pisum sativum (pea) long non-coding RNA (PSAT_LNC041236)". The record is from RNAcentral. Lineage: Eukaryota; Viridiplantae; Streptophyta; Magnoliopsida; Fabales; Fabaceae.